UAUGGCGACCGGCGCACGGGUGAGUAACACGUAUCCAACCUGCCGAUGACUCGGGGAUAGCCUUUCGAAAGAAAGAUUAAUACCCGAUGGCAUAGUUCUUCCGCAUGGUAGAACUAUUAAAGAAUUUCGGUCAUUGAUGGGGAUGCGUUCCAUUAGGUUGUUGGCGGGGUAACGGCCCACCAAGCCUUCGAUGGAUAGGGGUUCUGAGAGGAAGGUCCCCACAUUGGAACUGAGACACGGUCCAA
RNAcentral lists this ribosomal RNA (245 nucleotides) under uncultured bacterium. RNAcentral describes it as "partial 16S ribosomal RNA". It matches the Rfam family "Bacterial small subunit ribosomal RNA", at positions 87 to 334 of the family's 1533-position model. The record is from RNAcentral.